CGAACACCACAGCUGCUGUUGCCCAUGAUAGCAUUUGAAGGGCCGAGCCAUAUCACGCGAGGAGAAUGUGGGCUCACAGAUCAGUGCAGCAGAGUCUCAGCAGCGUGACUUCAAGAGCAGGCCGGGAUUUGGCACCAUCUCCACUUUUUCUCCUUUCUGCCCAAUUGGUGAAUACACCUCAUGUAUGAUUGAUUAGAAAACAUAAGCAUUCGGCUCAGGGAGCUUCUCUGGCACAGAUGCUUGUAUUCUUGAUCCCCCCUAUCAUCUGAAGUUAAGCUCCUUAAAAUCAUAAAGGUAAGUACCCUAUUACUUUUUGAUAUCAAACAGAAGUCAGUAAGAAAUUAAUUGUACUGGAGUUAGAUCCCAAGCCAACUACUUUGAUGUUUCCAUUCAAUUUCAACCUGCCUUGGUGUAAACCUUAGAAAAUCUGCAAAGUAAAUGCUGAUGCUUUUUUGCAGUUAUUGCAUAAAUGUUGUGAGGUUCUUUGUAAAUUUUCUUUUCCCACAUCACAGUUCACAUCCCCUGUCCAUUAAAAAACUGAAACAUUACCAAUCAAGGGGCCAGAUCCUUUGUCUCCUGCAUGCUUAUGGCAGGCAACACAUCCAUCCGGUUAUGGCAGUGGAAAAUCAGGUUCCCUGUCUGGGUAUGACUACAGGUACAGUAGUUUUCCACACCCAGUGUGAAAGGCUGGUGCAAGAAGCAGUAGGAUCAAAGUCUUCUGUGUACCAGCUGUAGAAGUUGGAAUAAACUUGGACAAGCAUCAGAGCUGUCACAGGGAUGACAGAAACUGAAGGGCUGUGCCUCCCCAAGCAGCAACAUGUGGGAAUGUGGAAGAAUAGAGGACUUUUCAUGUAAUUACGGGCACAACUGCAACUGUUCCAAUGCUGGCUCUCUGCAGAGAGCACUGAGCUCAUUCAGGAUUAGUCAUCGGUGUGCAGCCUAGGGCAAGUCUGCACACAGGUUCAAACGUAAUCAAAACUUUCCCCAGUGACCACAAUGCUGCAGAAAGGUGUGUGUAGAUUCUGGAAGGACAAGCGAGUUAAUUCUGGAGUGGUUCAAAUUUGAAGAAAUUUUCUAAAUGGAGGAAAGCAUGUGUGUGUACACAUCUGGGACAACGGGGAUUUCUUAGAUGUCUUCAUUUCCUUCUGCAGGAGCAGAGACUGAUUGAAUAUUCAAGCCUACUGCUGUUUAUAUCCAGUCCGCAUCUCAAGAGGAAAAGCACGAACUGCUUCCCAAUGAAGCAGCCGUUCCUCCCACAAGAGCCCACGGUGCCAGGGCUCUUAGCAAAUGCCUGGUGCAACUACUCUUGAGCGUUCCCCCUGCACACUGGUGCCAACACACAGAUCACUGCGUCCCCGUGGGCUGGCGUGCUCCUAACAGCUUCAUCUGUCACCAAUCCUUUCACCAGACUUCACUUCCGUGGCUCCUUGGUGUACGCUCUGUCUGCUCUCCAUCAUUAUUGCACAGAACACUGCAAUUAUUUGGGCUGCUCUCUUCAGUUUGAGCUGUUUCUUCCUUUUGUAUGUGGGCUGAGGGCAUUUUUUUUUUCCUUCUUAAUUAAAGGGUUUUGUUUACAGUAUCAGUUUCCUGAAUGGAGAUUUAUGCAGACCCCAUAAUUAUAACAGUCCCAAUAAACUGCACAAACUGUCAUUUACAGUUACAACACAGUGUUAAAGUUAUUUAUACAUCAGCAUAGCAUCUCUGCUAUGUCAAACUACACAUCAGCGCACUUGGAGAGUAUCAGAUCUCACAAAAAGAGCUAAUGCUGAACUGCAGCUCUCUGGGAGGACUCCUUCCCAUUUCCUCUCUUCAGGACCAGCAAAUAACCAGUAGGUUAAAGAGGGGAAACUCAGGCAAGCAGAAAGAGAGGAGUGAGCUCUGAACUCCUUUCUCCCAAAAAAUACAAACAACUUCAAGAAUUUAACAGCCCCUAUUUUGGCAAGCAUGCUGCGAGACAAUUGAGACAAACAUGUAGAAAUACUGACAACGUCCUUUUCUCUCCCUGUAUCAGAGCUGCAGCUGCUUCACCUGUUUGGGCACCAAGAGUCCAACAGUGCCAAUACAUGCACUGAAACCCUCAACUAAGGUUGAGGAGUUGGGCUGGAAUUCCAUUGUUCAAUGAACUAUCUCUGUGAGUGAUGAGAAUAGGUUUGCUCUAGUGAUUCGGCCUUGCUGUGCCCACAACACGAGCACAAGCCAGAGAAACAGGCCUACUUCUCUACAGCCUGCACAUAGCAGGAACAAGUGAGGACUAGAGCAACCUUUCCUGUCCAUUACGUAGGCUCUGAAUACUGGUGAUGAAAAAGGAAGGAUUUGUCCAGACUAUCAAAAAAAAAAAGGAAGGAAGAGCUGAAGAACUUGACAAACUUCAGGGUAAAGGAGAUGAAAUAGAGGGAAGGAGAAAAGGUGGACUGGGAGACAAAUGGGGUAGGAAGCUGGAACAGAAGAACAGGAGAAGCAGGAUUAUUGGAAGCUCAAACCACCUCAAAUGGAAGCAAUGCCAGACCAACCGCACAAACUACAGUAGAAAACACAGAAAAAAAAAGUUAUUCCUCUAACUCAUCAUAAAAUCAUUGCAGAAACAGAAGAAUAAGGGAAAAAAAUAA
This is a long non-coding RNA of Gallus gallus (chicken), 2606 nucleotides long. NCBI's taxonomy places the organism in Eukaryota, Metazoa, Chordata, Aves, Galliformes, Phasianidae. The record is from Ensembl.